GCUUGAGAUGAUACGUCUCGCCGACAUCACCACCCCACGCCGGCCAGGAAGGUUAGGGGAUGAGGAUCAGACACAAGGUCGAGGCAUGCGCCGCCUCACGGAAGAGACAUCUCUACAGGAAAAAGCGAUGCAUCGUUCUGAUAUUACAGCCAAGCUCGUUUCCUAUAUAUAUAUAUAAAAUGGAAAAAGGCACCAAGUACUGAGCAAGGAGGAAAUGCUAGCACGGACUCUUCCAACAUCAGCAAGGUCGGAACCAAAGGCGACAUGGAGGCUGGGAAAAAGGAGCGGGCACGACAGGGAGUAGCACUUCGAUUUGGGAAAAUUACCCUAGAGUAAUUGGCUAAGCAGAUGAAAAAUAUAAGGGGAAACAAAGUGUCUCAACUCAAUGUCAAAGAUUCAAGUCCUUAAAGAUAGGCAUGAUGAGAGCUUUGUUGGUAAUAAACUACACAAUGACUAAAGACGAAGUAGCUAGAGGAAGGAGCUUCUCGAAGUCGCAACGAGGAUGACCAACUCCGGUUUACAGGGAGUAAACUAAGUAUCGUCUUACGGCAAAAUGUUUGAUGGAUGAUCAAUUUUUGGGAAACAAAGGAUACUAAUAAGGAUAGUGGAUCUUCGUAGGGAUGUCUUCACUAGUGCAUCAAGAGUUCGAGAAAGACACCUGCGCGAUAGACCAAAGGGGACAAAGCCGUAAACCCCACUACGACGCAGUGGGUAACAUGGUACCUGCCCUCUUCCCGGAUGAGGAGGAAAUAGAAUUCGUGGAGCAGCCGAACGCCCACAUCUGGGAGACAACUGUGAGGCGUCAGGUACUGAUGCCCCAUUUCCAGAAGGCGGCAGAGUAGAGUAUAGGCGGAUGUACCAAAGCCAUGGGACUAUCCAGUUCGCGCCUGAAGUCGAAACAACACCGGCCAAGAUGGGCCAUGGGCACCCAAGGAAGUUCGGAUUGACCGGGGAAGGUCUUGGACCGUUUAGGAUGGAGGUCAGUGUGCCAACAAGGGAGCAUGGACGACCAAGGAAAAUUCCUAGCAUUGAUGCGGACCGUCUGAGGAGCAUAACCGGAGUAUGUCAGUGUGGGACACUGAUGCAUGCCAAGCAAGAACCACGCUCAGUCCAGGAGUACACCGAGGAAUUCCGGGAGACAGCCAAAAGAUGCAAGCCAAAGACAUUGGAGGAUUGGUACCGAUGGUAUAUGGCAGGGUUCUGUGGGGAAAUUCAGGGCAAGCUGAUGGGUGUGUUCGAACCAUGGAAUUCGCUCUGGAGAACCGGAUAUUCGGUCAAGCGAUGGAGGCAGAGCGAACACUUACUGUCGGGUCGUCGCUAUCUAGAGAUCUAAGGGAGAAGUGGAAGUGGAAGAGGAUCUGCGGAAGACAUCGAUUAUGGAUGAAAGAACCUCAGGAGGAUGUACCGAGCCAUGCAAGUGUGAGAUCCUUGUUGAGAUAGUGUGUAGGCCACGCCUGGUCCAAGAGUACACUAAGGAGUUCUUAGACAUGGCCGAGAAAUGCAAGUCGAAGCCUGCGGAGGGGUAGUGCCGGUGUUAUAAGGCGAGACUCCGUAGGGACAUUCGAGGAGAGCUGAAUGGAGCCAUGGAAUCUAUGGAAUUUGCCUUAGUGGUGAGGAUGGCAGGGAUGGCGAUGGCAGCAAAGGCGUGGUUGUUAAACAUGUUAUUUAUGUCACAAGUGCUGAACAGGAAGAGAAUCCAUCAGAAGAUUAACAAUAGGAGGAUUAUCUGGAACCGUCAGCUAGAGGUGUCCGAGUGUUUGGUUAUUACUCGAGGCAGAAACACGCUUCUCCACUUUGUAGAGACUAGAUAUGAUCUUGAAAACAUCCCGUAUGAGUAGGAAUUAUGUUCUUCCUUAUUUACGUGGGAGUUUUCGAAAGAAGAUCCUUAAGAAAAUAUUGUGUGCCUCCCUUGAAUGUGUUUGAACUCACCCCGGGUUUUGGGAUGUUAGUGUUCAAAGCCUGAAGAUGGGAAUUCGGGGCGAAUUCCGAUUAACAGGGGGAGAAUUGUAACACCCCAAAACUCAAACCCAAAAAGUUUUUGUGGUUUAAAAGGAAAGGCCCGCUCUGCAGCCCAUUAAGAUUAAAACCCUAGGGUUUCCUUGCCUUCUUCUAUAAAUAUAAAGCCUCCACCCCUUAGUCUCCCAUCAGAAACUUUGAAGCGAAGCUCUGCAGAGAAAUCCCGGAGACCGGAAGCCCUAGCCGUCGAUGAUCUUUCUCUCUCCCUGCGCUGCCUCUCUUGCUUUUCUCCCUCCUCGCCGCGUCUCUCUCCUCUCUCUCUCCUCACGAUCUCUCUCUCUCCCGGUCGAAUCUCUCUCUCUCCUUGCCGUUAGCAGCCGCGAGUGGUGGUGGUGGCCGCGUGGUGUCGUAGAUCUCAGAUCCCGUUUCUCUUACCCCUUAUUUUCAGAUCCAGAUCCGGAUCUAGGCUAAGAACUAUAAGUGGAAAUGUCGACGGUAAGAAAGGAAACGCACCUGAAACUCAUGGGACCAGAAACGGGACACACGGAGAUGUCGGGAAAGUAGACAUGUGUGUCCUAAACCCCGCGCCCUGGAACCCCGGUUGGAAAUAGGGAGGAACGGGUGUUUCAAUUUUUUCACAGAUACUGAAGUCACGGUUGUCUUCAUUCAGGAAGUAAUAAAACUCUUCUCGCACCAUAGUGUCAUCGUAAUAAGGUCUUGACUAGCUUGUUUGGAAGGAGUUAUUUCGUCUGUCUGGUACCAAACUGUGUCUUAGUACAGACUACCACCCUCAGUCCGAUGAAAAAACUGAGGUGACCAACCAAGGAAAGGAAACAUAUUUGAGAUGUUUCUCUAGUGACAAGCCCGAACUUGGUAUGAGUACUUAGCUUAGACUGAAUUGAGCUACAACUCUUCUUUCCAUGCAAUCAUCGAAAUAACUCCCUUCAAAGCAUUGCAUAGAAGAAAUCUAUCAUCCCUGCCGAAGUACAAAAAUGGGUCUACAUCCAACGUAGAGUUGGAGAACAACUCUUAGAGAGAGAUGCAGCUUUAGCCUUACUACGUGAGCACUUUCAUAAAGCUUAAUAGGCUAUGAAAGAAAAGCUGAUGGAAAGAGAUGUGAGGUUAUGUUUGAGGUAGGUGAUUUGUUCUACUUGAAAAUCAAACCAUACUACGUAUGCAUGAAUGAGAAAUUGGCGGCUAGGUUCUACGGGCAGUUUGAAGUGGAAGCUAGAGUGGGACAGUCGCUUAUAGAUUUAAGUUACCUCUAGAGGUGAAGAUUCACAACACAUUCCAUGUCUCUCAGCUAUAGAAAUUUGUAGGAGAUUCUCCGGAGGUAAUCCCUAUUACUUCAGAUCUCUCGGCUGAUUGUUGCUGAGUCAGUGGCUUUUUGGGGUUCAAGGAUCAAGGCAGCUACUAAACAAGUGUAAAGGGCCAAGGAUUAACGCAGCUAAUAAGCAAGCAUAGGUACUGAUUAAGUGGAAAGUGAUAUCAGCCCAUGAUUAUACUUGGGAGUGGAAGAUUACAAUCAGCAAACAGUUUCCUUCCUUAGAUCUUGAGGACAAGGUCAAUUUCGUUGAUCAGGGUAUUGAUACAUUUGAAUCAUGUUACCUUCCUGUCCUUUGCAAGUACUCUCACAGGAAGGCUCACAAAGAGUAAGCGCCAAACGUCUAAGGAAGCCCAGGAGGAAAGGGUAUGUGAGGGUCUGAGGGGCAAGGUUAUAAGCAGGUUCUAAAAGGAGAUAAGAAAUAAUGGUUGUGCUGAUUCAGAGAUAUUAGCACAUGAGGUUUAUACUCACGGUGAGAGUGUGGAUGACCUAACCAUAAUAACUUUGUAAAGGUGAAGAUGUCAUUUGGAUCAUUGUAAGCAAGGAAAGAGUCUCUUGAGUGUGUUUUUCUUUGUAAACCUCUUUUCAUUCAAUGUAAAGUAUCCCAUUUACAUUCUUAUGCUUAUCACAGAAGUUUGAGUAUCAAGAUCAUAACAACUGGUGAUGACUUUCUGGGAUUCAGCAUGUAUGGAAGAAAAACAGCGAGGAAACUUGUGAGAGAACAUGGUUCUCUGGAGAGUUUACUAUGCCGCUGUAAGAACCUUAGGAAGACCAUAUGCUCUUACGAAAUAUGCUGAGAAGAAACUAUCAAGUUCUUGCCCUGAAAGGUUCUCCCUUCAUCUAGAUUAUUAUGCUUCUCUUGGAAGACAUUUUUACCGAUUUCGUAAGAAAAAAUUUAUCAUCGAAAUGUGAGGGUACAGAUUCAAGAGGAAUGAGCUGGUGGAGAGAGAUACAAGCAAUGAUUAAGAGAAGUAGUGUCAAGUUUUUUCUCAACCUUGCAUAGAUGAUAUUCAAAAACUUUCUUUUUACCAUUCAAAAGUAGAACUCGUUGGAGUCAACACAGUCAUGCUCAAGAACUGAUCGCAAGUUUUUCCUCACUUAAAUCUAGUUCGUUAGUUCGUGGAGUAUCGUCAUUGUAGUUGCAUACUUUUAGUUUAACGGUGUAACACCUCUAGGCUAUAUCAAAUUUGUUGGUAUAUUCCAUAAAAAUCAAAGAGUUAGUUUUCUAAAAAUUGUUUGUAAACAGUUGGUUCCACCAACGUGAACCGUUAACGGUAAGGGGAGGAAAAAAAGAAUCUAAACUUUCUUAUAUUAUUACAUGACAUAAGAAAAGGAAAUCCACUUUUUGCUCUCCUGAUAUUAUUCUAGAAAAAAACAAAUUACAGACAGAAAAGGAGCUGCCUAGAGGCUAAAAGGCUAAGAACAA
Brassica rapa (field mustard) is the source of this 4706-nucleotide long non-coding RNA. RefSeq lists it as uncharacterized. NCBI's taxonomy places the organism in Eukaryota, Viridiplantae, Streptophyta, Magnoliopsida, Brassicales, Brassicaceae. The record is from RefSeq and is a predicted model, not a curated record.